GGCUCACCUAGGCGACGAUCCGUAACUGGUCUGAGAGGAUGAUCAGUCACACUGGAACUGAGACACGGUCCAGACUCCUACGGGAGGCAGCAGUGGGGAAUAUUGGACAAUGGGCGAAAGCCUGAUCCAGCCAUGCCGCGUGUGUGAAGAAGGUCUUCGGAUUGUAAAGCACUUUAAGUUGGGAGGAAGGGCAGUAAGUUAAUACCUUGCUGUUUUGACGUUACCAACAGAAUAAGCACCGGCUAACUUCGUGCCAGCAGCCGCGGUAAUACGAAGGGUGCAAGCGUUUAUCGGAAUUACUGGGCGUAAAGCGCACGCAGGCGGUCUGUCAAGUCGGAUGUGAAAUCCCCGGGCUCAACCUGGGAACUGCAUUCGAAACUGGCAGGCUAGAGUCUUGUAGAGGGGGGUAGAAUUCCAGGUGUAGCGGUGAAAUGCGUAGAGAUCUGGAGGAAUANCCGGUGGCGAAGGCGGCCCCCUGGACAAAGACUGACGCUCAGGUGCGAAAGCGUGGGGAGCAAACAGGAUUAGAUACCCUGGUAAUCCACGCCGUAAACGAUGUCGACUUGGAGGUUGUGCCCUUGAGGCGUGGCUUCCGGAGCUAACGCGUUAAGUCGACCGCCUGGGGAGUACGGCCGCAAGGUUAANAACUNCAAANUGAAUUGACGGGGGCCCGCACAAGCGGUGGAGCAUGUGGUUUAAUUCGAUGCAACGCGAAGAACCUUACCUACUCUUGACAUCCAGAGAACUUUCCAGAGAUGGAUUGGUGCCUUCGGGAACUCUGAGACAGGUGCUGCAUGGCUGUCGUCAGCUCGUGUUGUGAAAUGUUGGGUUAAGUCCCGCAACGAGCGCAACCCUUGCCAUUAGUUGCUACGAAAGGGCACUCUAAUGGGACUGCCGGUGACAAACCGGAGGAAGGUGGGGAUGACGUCAAGUCCUCAUG
Molecule: ribosomal RNA, 940 nt
Filed under: uncultured bacterium
Lineage: Bacteria
Description: bacterial SSU rRNA
Rfam family: Bacterial small subunit ribosomal RNA
Source: RNAcentral